This 60-nucleotide transfer RNA is filed under the name Candidatus Collierbacteria bacterium CG17_big_fil_post_rev_8_21_14_2_50_45_7. RNAcentral describes it as "tRNA-Trp". It matches the Rfam family "tRNA", at positions 1 to 59 of the family's 71-position model. Rfam says of the family: Transfer RNA (tRNA) molecules are approximately 80 nucleotides in length. Their secondary structure includes four short double-helical elements and three loops (D, anti-codon, and T loops). Lineage: Bacteria; Candidatus Collieribacteriota. The record is from RNAcentral.
GGGUAAGUAGUCCAAUGGUUAGGACACUCGUCUCCAAAACGAGAAAUAUAGGUUCAAAUC